This 429-nucleotide ribosomal RNA is filed under the name Actinomycetes bacterium. RNAcentral describes it as "Actinobacteria bacterium partial 16S ribosomal RNA". It matches the Rfam family "Bacterial small subunit ribosomal RNA", at positions 355 to 776 of the family's 1533-position model. Lineage: Bacteria; Bacillati; Actinomycetota; Actinomycetes. The record is from RNAcentral.
UAGGGAAUCUUCCGCAAUGGGCGAAAGCUUGACGGAGCAACGCCGCGUGAGUGAUGAAGGUCUUCGGAUCGUAAAACUCUGUUAUUAGGGAAGAACAAAUGUGUAAGUAACUAUGCACGUCUUGACGGUACCUAAUCAGAAAGCCACGGCUAACUACGUGCCAGCAGCCGCGGUAAUACGUAGGUGGCAAGCGUUAUCCGGAAUUAUUGGGCGUAAAGCGCGCGUAGGCGGUUUUUUAAGUCUGAUGUGAAAGCCCACGGCUCAACCGUGGAGGGUCAUUGGAAACUGGAAAACUUGAGUGCAGAAGAGGAAAGUGGAAUUCCAUGUGUAGCGGUGAAAUGCGCAGAGAUAUGGGGGAACACCAGUGGCGAAGGCGACUUUCUGGUCUGUAACUGACGCUGGUGUGCGAAAGCGUGGGGAUCAAACAGG